RNAcentral lists this long non-coding RNA (1146 nucleotides) under Callithrix jacchus (white-tufted-ear marmoset). Its description in RNAcentral is "lncRNA (ENSCJAG00000074076.1)". Lineage: Eukaryota; Metazoa; Chordata; Mammalia; Primates; Cebidae. The record is from RNAcentral.
UUUUGUUGUUUUUUUUUUUUUUUUUUAGUGGAGAUAGGGUUUCACCCUGUUGGCCAGGCUGGUCUUGGAGUCCUGAACUUAAGUUAUCUGCCUGCCUUGGCCUCCCAAAGUGUUGGGAUUACAGCUCUGGAGGCUGGGAAGUCCAGGAUCAAGGUACCAGAAGAUUCAGCAUCUGCUGAGGGUUUGUUCCUUAUAGAUGGCAUGUCGUAUGUGUUCUUACGUGGCAGAAGGGGAAAACAGGCUCCCUCAGGCCUCUUUUGUAAGGUGAGGAAUCUCAUUCAUGUGGGCAGAGUCCUCCUGACCUAAUCAUCUCCCAAAGACCUCUGCUCUUAAUACCAAUAUCAUGAGGGUUAUAUCCCAACACAUAAAUUUGGAGAAAACACAGACAUUCAGACCAUAGCAGAUGGUUUCAAAGUUUUGUUCCUAUCAUUCUUCUCUAUCAUGUGCUGCUUGUUCUCUAGCCAGCAUGAAUGUAGUUUUGCCUUCUGUUACUUUUAUGAGGGUUAACAGUAAACUGGCUCCAGUGGCUAUUUUUGCAAAAAUAGUUCUUGACUGAGGAAAAGCACAACAGAAUUCUGGUUGCUAGACCUAAUAAUCACAGGUAAUAUGAUUCGUAAUUGUUUGACUUUUUGCUCAGUGGAAUUUAGAAGUGAUAUCAUAAAAUCUAUUCUUUCUACAGUGAGAAAGAAUUAAAAAUUCAGAAAUGUCAUUUAAGACUACUAAGAAUAUUCAAAGGAAAACUCAUUACUCUCUUAUUGGGUAUUUGUAACAUUCUUAUUUGUGCAGUUAAUUCUCAUUCGCAGUAUUUAUGAUCUACAAAGUUGUGGCAGCCACUCAAUUAAUACAUACUGAACUGUUGCUUAUGGGGAAACAUAAAGUUAGGUUUCUGCAAACCCCAUUCACAGCUUUCUUUCAAUAGAUCCAUACAUAAACAUGUUUUGUGUUUCUGUUUAAAGACACUUUAUUUAAUGUGUAUCAUUGCUUCAUUAACAUUGAACCCAUAGCCAACAGCACUAUAGCUCGUGCCUAAACAAAGCUUAUCUAACACAUGUGCUUCUUCUAUAAGAUAUAUCACGCCUUCUUGCCCUAGACAGUACUUCAACACUAAGCUUGGGAGCCAUUUAAAUAACAGAAUUACCAACAAAA